CCUACGGGAGGCUGCAGUGAGGAAUAUUGGUCAAUGGCCGUAAGGCUGAACCAGCCAAGUCGCGUGAGGGAAGACUGCCCUAUGGGUUGUAAACCUCUUUUAUGCGGGGAUAAAGGUGUCCACGUGUGGAUGUUUGCAGGUACCGCAUGAAUAAGGACCGGCUAAUUCCGUGCCAGCAGCCGCGGUAAUACGGAAGGUCCGGGCGUUAUCCGGAUUUAUUGGGUUUAAAGGGAGCGUAGGCCGGUCUUUAAGCGUGCCGGGAAAUUUUGUGGCUUAACCAUGAGAGUGCGGCGCGAACUGGAGACCUUGAGUGCGCGGAAGGUAGGCGGAAUUCGUGGUGUAGCGGUGAAAUGCUUAGAUAUCAAGAAGAACCCCGAUUGCGAAGGCAGCCUGCCGCAGCGUUACUGACGCUGAAGCUCGAAAGCGCGGGUAUCGAACAGGAUUAGAUACCCCAGUAGUC
This 460-nucleotide ribosomal RNA is filed under the name uncultured bacterium. Its description in RNAcentral is "partial 16S ribosomal RNA". It matches the Rfam family "Bacterial small subunit ribosomal RNA", at positions 338 to 795 of the family's 1533-position model. The record is from RNAcentral.